UAGAGAGGAGAUCUUGGUAAUUUCACUUUAUAUGCAGUAUCACCGCCCCUCCCUUCUUCAAAACCUAACCCUAAGCCAGAGAAAGAGAGAGGGGAGACAGAGACGGAGAAGUCUCCGGUUUCGACACUGUGGACGCGCCGCGCAUGGUUCUCCGGCGUCGACAUCACAGACGAGUCCGUCGUACAUGGUGGUGGGGAGCGGUGGUACCAGGGUUUCUGGUCACCGUAACGGCGGUCAGCAGCCGUAAGUGGUUGCUAGGUUGUCGGUUGUUGUUUCUGUCGACAUCAGCAGAACUUCGGUGACGGCAGAUAGCGUGACAAGGAUGGCUUGAAGAAGCUCUGGCGAAACACCUAGGGUUCCGGUCCUAUUCCAGCGAAGUUCCGUCCAGAAGGAUUAAAGCUUGCAUCUUCCAUUUGUGAGUAUUAAGGUAAAACCCGUCUACUGUCCGAUUAUACAACCCGAACCAGAUGUCUAUUGCUUGAUUCUUUAUGUUUCAACCAUGUUGGUGGGUAACAGCAAAAUCUUCGCAACUAGGGCAUGAAUUUGAUAACCUUCGUAUCUACGCCCCUCUGGCCUUUGAGCCUUUUAAAAAGGUAAAUUUUAUGUUAGGGUUUUUGUUCUAUCCGCCAGAUAUUACAUAGGGUGUAUAAUCGCUUAUGGUUUUGGAUUAUGAUGUCUGUAGUAGCCGGUUGAACUCACAUUCUGAUGAUAAGUGUUACUUUAGUUUAUUUUCUAAGUUGUUUUCACCAAAAUGUUUGUGUUCAGAGGUGAUACAAGCAUUUAUAUACAUUUUAUAUAGAAUGGAAUGAACAGUAAAAUCUAGGGGUAUUUUAGGGUUUCUUUUAACCCAUGACAAAAACAACGCUUCCCAUUCCAUUAUGGCGGUAGAAAGAGAUAGAGAGAGUACGCGACAGAGGCAGAGUAAGAUAGAGAGAGGCGCGGUGGUGAUGGAGGAACUGACUAUGGUCUCCGGCCGACAGUAAUGUUGUCGAUCGUCGCGCUGAAUGGGAACUUGACGGUCGUGGGUUCUAGGGUUCCGGCGGCGGUACCGGUGACUCUAAUCGGUCGAUUCUGGAGAUGGAAUGGGAGAGUUGAAGGUGAUCUUGAACAACCACAACCUCAGAGACUUGAAUCGUGUUUCCGCGACAAUUUCGGUUCACAGUCCAAGUUGUUUAUUUUAAACAAGGGUUAAGAAGAAGCAAAGUCACCAACGCAUUUCGUUUGUUCUUCAACACCGAGUACCGCUGCAAAGCGCGGGUGGGAAUAAGCGGUUGGUGUAGGUGGAAGGUGUUGUCAGUAGGCAGGUGUGUUUGGAAGCUCCUUUGAAGACUGGAGUGACAACGGUGAUGGUAGAACAGAUGGAGAAUGAUACCAGGAAGCCUACAUUAUUACAUAUUUGGUAGCUAGCAAUUUAAAUGACUAAAAGGGUUCAUCAACCUGCGUGACCGAGGAUAUGUUAAUAUGAGAGACACAUGUUGAGAUGUUUGUUUGGGUUGGUUAGCCUGUAGACUCCAAGGAAAGGCAAAGUGCUUUUGAAAUCAGGCAUGUACCUGUUUAGCAUAUCUUCUAUCAGUAAUAUUGCAAGCUUAUUUUUGUUGUCUAAUAUGUUUUUAAUGAAAGAUAUCGGAAUACAUAUGAGUUCGCUGCAUCUCUAGAUGGGCUAUCCCCAUAUGUACACAGAAGAAAACCAACCUAACUUCUUUACAACAUUUUUCUCAUGGGAUUCUGCAAAAGCCAAUGCAUGUUUUUGUUUCUUAUUUUGUUAAUAUUGUUCGCUUAUAAUAUGGGUUUAUUUGAUGAAUUUGAAACUAUGUAUGCUCUUGAAGUUAGAGGUGGCAAAACGCAAGCGAAGAGACGAAAGAUCGGAUUGUAGGCUAGGUUUAAGGUCUGCCAGUUUCUUGAUUCUACUCCACUUUUCGGAUUGGCUUAGUGUUACAUCUAUCAACUAACUGAGCUUCCUUAGCUGACUGGGCUUUCAGCGCUGAGUUUCAAGACAAGGCGAGUUACAGGACUAAAGAGUGUAUGCUCUUAAACGCAUAUACAACUACAUGUAUGCUCUUAAACUCAUAUACCGCUACGAAGCGGGGUAAAUCAGAUGUAUUCUUUUGAUUAUAUCACAAUCAUAAUUAUUUAUUUUUUCCC
Helianthus annuus (common sunflower) is the source of this 2142-nucleotide long non-coding RNA. RefSeq lists it as uncharacterized. The record is from RefSeq and is a predicted model, not a curated record. NCBI's taxonomy places the organism in Eukaryota, Viridiplantae, Streptophyta, Magnoliopsida, Asterales, Asteraceae. The transcript is spliced from 4 exons.